This 72-nucleotide transfer RNA is filed under the name Acanthamoeba castellanii str. Neff. It matches the Rfam family "tRNA". From Rfam's summary of the family: Transfer RNA (tRNA) molecules are approximately 80 nucleotides in length. Their secondary structure includes four short double-helical elements and three loops (D, anti-codon, and T loops). Lineage: Eukaryota; Discosea; Longamoebia; Acanthamoebidae. The record is from Rfam by way of RNAcentral.
CGGCCGGUGGUGCAGCGGGAAGCACGUAUGCCUCUCACGCAUGAGACGCGAGUUCGAACCUUGCUCGGCCGA